AACGAACGCUGGCGGCAUGCCUAACACAUGCAAGUCGAACGAGGUUUCCACUUCGGUGGUUUCCUAGUGGCGCACGGGUGAGUAACGCGUGGGAACCUGCCCUGUGGUACGGAAUAACUCCGGGAAACUGGAGCUAAUACCGUAUGUGUCCUGUGGGACAAAGAUUGCAUCGCCAUGGGAGGGCCCGCGUAGGAUUAGCUGGUUGGUGGGGUAACGGCCGUACCAAGGCAACGAUCCUUAGCNGGUCUGAGAGGAUGAUCAGCCACACUGGGACUGAGACACGGCCCAGACUCCUACGGGAGGCAGCAGUGGGGAAUAUUGGACAAUGGGCGCAAGCCUGAUCCAGCAAUGCCGCGUGAGUGAUGAAGGCC
This 371-nucleotide ribosomal RNA is filed under the name uncultured bacterium. RNAcentral describes it as "bacterial SSU rRNA". It matches the Rfam family "Bacterial small subunit ribosomal RNA", at positions 29 to 416 of the family's 1533-position model. The record is from RNAcentral.